Molecule: long non-coding RNA, 24522 nt
Filed under: Homo sapiens (human)
Lineage: Eukaryota; Metazoa; Chordata; Mammalia; Primates; Hominidae
Description: non-protein coding lnc-SSR3-7:1
Source: RNAcentral
AGAAUGGAUCUGUCCUUCACUUAGAUGGUGAAGAUUGUAGGAAGAACAUGUUUUGGGGAACAGGGAGAAACGAUAAUGUAGUUUUGGACUUGUUAAGAUUGACACAUAUUAGAUAUUUAAGUGAGAAAGUUAGUAGGAUAUUGCAUAAUUAAAUCUAAAGUUUAGGGGAGACGCUGGAGCCACUUGCUACCAUACCUAAGAAAGUCCCCACUGUCAAACUUACAUAGCAAACAUGUUCAUUCAUCCAUUUUACAUGUAGGUUAAUUAGGAGGUCUUAAAAGUGUGUUUUUUAAAAGAGGAGCAGUGGGCCAUAUUCUGCAUUUGCAGAGGAGGGAGAUUUAUUUUCACAAAGUCUGGGAGUGAAGUGUUGCCCAGUAGUGUGUCCACUCAUAUCACAUUUCUCUAGCAGAAGGAAGCUGUAAUCCCUAUAAACAUGAGCGAAUUUAAAGUUCCCAUUACCCAAUUGUGACCUCAUGACCCCAUUCUGGGAAGCUGACUAAGAAAUGACUUUGAGGCUAAAGAAAUCAAACAGUUGAUAUUUGUAUGUUAUGUGACUAAAGAAAGAAAAAAUAGUCAGGCCAAGCAUAUGAAAAUAAAAAAUCGAUACAGGCUCAUGCAAGCUUCUAGUAAUGUAAGCCUAAAUUUGGCCUUAAAACAAAAACUUAUAGUAUCAAUUAGCAUUCCUAUUAUUCUUCUUGCCUACAGACUUUAAAGAAGCAGCUGUCAUUUAUUUUCAAAUGCAAAACAGAUGGAAAUUUAUGGUACCAGGGAAAUCUAUACUAAGCCAAAUAAAACACUUGCAGCAUUAUUUAGUGUAUGCAUUAUUUUUACUUCAUCACCUGCCUGAGACUCUUUGGUUUUUAUUUUUCACUUUCUGAAGAGUUAGCUAAAUUAGACAUCAAGGCUCUGAAUGGCUUUUUUUCAAUUAUCAGUGUGUUUACAUUGAAACAAAGAUAACCUCUUGGUUUGAAAGUUUUGCAAAGUCACCAAAAAACAAUGUUACUUUGGUUAAAAAUAACUCUCUAUUGAAAUGAAAUAAAUGUCAGCAUUAGAGAAAUGGAAACCAAAACUUUUUAUCAGACCUCAAGUUGAAAGGCAGGAAAUGUUAGCUGCAUUGACAGAACCCUAGGUACAGGGAGUUGGUGAAAAUAAAUAGUAUGGUUACACAGAUAAGUGACCCAGAAAAGAACUUGUUGGUUGACAUGAUUUUUAUUUAUUCUUCUAUUUUGUUGAAUGUCUGCUACAAGUAGUUGCUGGGCACGCAAGUAGUGAAAAAAACGGACAUGAUCUCUGCCUUCGUGUUGCAUAUGGAAGAAGACGUAUUAACUCAAAUAACCACUCAAAUCAACUUACAACCGUAAACUUUAAUAAGUGCUUUGGAAGAAGUCUUUCCUGGUGAAGAAACAUUUGGUUGGCUCUGAUGAUGGAGUAAGCAUGAACUAGGUCAAAAGGAUAUGGGUGGGAGCAGCUAAUGGUGGUCAGGGGACAGAAUGUUAAGUGCAAAGCCAGAAUUGUGAAGUUGUGGCAUGCCAAAGAGAGCCACUGUGUCUGCAAAAUAGAAAGUGAGAAGGAGAGUGGCUGGAGAUUACUUGGGAAUGUAGACCUUCAGGCCUCCUAAGUAAGAAUUCUGAAGAAAAAUGGAUGUCAUUGAAGUGCUUUAAUUAGGAAAAUGACAUGAUUAUAUUUUAAUUUUUAAAAGUAAAGCUGUAAUGAGGGGAACUUUCACUUCCAGUAAUGAAUUAGGCAAUUCGGCUAACACUCUUACCAAGUAAAACCACAAAAGUUGGACAAAAUAUUUUGAAAAUUACUCUGAGAGUUAACAUGACAACAUCUGGGAUAAUAUCUGGGAGAAAGAAACUCGGAGAGGUGAGUAGAGCAUUUAGAACCACUUUUCCGAAGAGGAGUCUGAGAAGCUUAAUAGAAAUUUUAACAGACUAACAAGGAUAGGGAGAUAAAACUGAAGUUCAAGGAAGGUAAAGGGAAGUGAUGUCAGGUUUUGGGUUGGGACCCAAAGGACUACAUGAGAGUAAGGGUAACAUAGAAAUAGGCCAACCCUCCUGGAGGGUUGAACCACCCACUUCAUAUUCUCUGAGGCCUUCCAACUGGAUUGAAUUAAGGUGAUGUAGGAUUGCUACUGGCCUUAAUCUCUUACCAGAAGCACCUAUAAAAAUUCCUUGAAGAAAGAUAACAUUCUUCUUGGUCUAAAACUAUUUUUACAAUGAUCCAAAUGCAAUAUCUAGCAUUCAUAAAAAAUAACCAAGAAAGCAUUCACAAACUGGUGGGACAAGUCAAAGGACAAAGAAAGCAAAUUGAAGGUCCUCCUACAGGCCAAAAUAGGGCAAUUUGAAUGAUAAAAAGAAUAAUGAUGGUAAUUCAUUAAAAAAUAGUGAAUAAAAAGAAAAUCCAUGAGUCUAUAAAAAUACUCAAAAAAAGUUGGGGGGCCUGGCAUGGUGGCUCAUGCCUGUAAUCCCAGCACUUUGGGAAGCCAAGGUGGGUGGAUCACUUGAGGCUGGGAGUUGAGACCAGCCUGGCCAAUAUGGUGAAACCCUGUCUCUAUUAAAACACAAAAAUCAGGUAGGCAUAGUGGUGUGCACCUGUAAUUCCAGCCACUUGGGAGGCUGAGACAGGAGAAUCGCUUGAACCCUGGGGGCAGAGGUUGCAGUGAGCUGAGAUCGCAGCCACUGCACUCCUGACUCUUUCUCAAAAACAAAACAAAAAAAAAAGGGAGAGGGAGGGGAUACAAAAAAAGAGGGAAAGCUUUUCUUUAUAGAAGAAUGCUAGCUAAUAAAUGUGGACAGAUUGAUAGAAUUGGAAAAUCACCAUUUUGAAUCACAAAAGUAAUAAUAAUGGUAUACGAGGUAAACUGAAGAGCCAGGGAUGGCUCUUCAUUGACAAUGAAAGGAUUAUCAAUGUAUACUAAUGCCAAUAGGUGAGAGGUUGGAAAAUAGUCAUAGUUUCCAAGUAUCUCCUUAUACAUUACUCAUUAAUAACACAAAGAGAUAAUCUGACAAUAGAGAAAUCCAACACAUAUCACAUUAACCAAAUGAUCAAACUUAAAAAUGAAUACUGAUGGUACUAAUGAACAUUACGAGCCUUCUGAUAUUAAUGAAUAAGGGAGGACAAACCAUCAUCUAUGUAGUGUUGUUGCCAAAAUAUUUAAUCUAAACCUAAGCAUUAGACAAAUCCAAAUAGUAAGACAUUCUACAGAACUCUUUAAAAACUAUCAAUGUCAUGAGAGGGGAAAAAAAGGCAAUGGAACUAUUCUAGAUGAAAGGAAAGUAAAAGCUAUGCCUAAACCUAAUAUAGAUACAGGAUAUUUUAAAAUGCUAUAAAGGAUGUUAUUUAGGCAAUUGAAUAAAUUUGCAGAUGUACUGAAUAUUAGAUAUAUUGUGGUAUCAAUGUUAAAUUUCUUGAGUGUGAUAAGAGAGAUAUUGUGAUCAUGUAGGAGAAUAUCAUUGUUCUUAAAAGAGAUACAUGUUGAAAUGUGUAGGAAAUGAAACAUCCUUUUAUAUGUAGAGGACUUUCAAAUGGCUCUGUAAUAUCUAUAUCUAUACAUAUGCAUGCAGUCUUCACUUUGCAGGACUGUAAAAAGAUAUGGUAGUACAAGAUUAUAAAAAUGACCAUGCAAGCUGAAACUACAAAGUGAUCUUAAUCAAUGGGGAAAAUCACAGUUGUUCUGUCACCUUUAAAAAUGUUUACCAAAACAUUAAGAACACUCUUACGGUCAGUCAUAAAUGCAGAAAAUUGUAAAAAAAAAAAAAAAAAAAACACAAAACUAAUUUGUAUUUAGUGCACUGUAAUUUAAAACAUUAGAAAUAUUGAGGAUUAAAGUGUUUUAUUUCUUUGUUAAAACUUACCAAAGGCCAGGCAUGCUGGCUCACACCUGUAAUCCCAGCACUUUGGGAGGCCAAGAUGGGCAGUUUGCUUGAGCUCAGGAGUUUGAGACCAACCUGGGCAACCUGAUGAAAUACUGUGUCUCCAAAAAUAAUACAAAAAUUAGCCAGGCAUGGUGGUGUGUGCCUGUAGUCCCAGCUACUCAGGAAACUGAGGUGGGAGUAUGGCUUGCACCCAGGAGGCAGAGGUUGCAGUGAGCCAUGAUCAUGCCACUGCAUUCCGGCCUGCGUGACAGAGCAAGACCCCAUCUCAAAAACAAACAAACAAUCAAACAAACAACAUCAACAAUAAAAAGCUUACCAAGAAUAAUUUGAACAGUGUUGCUUCUUCUGAUUAUAUAACUUAUCUUAUGGAUGAAGCAUCUUUUCUCCACUUUCACAAAUCAUCAUAUUCCUUUCUAAGUUUAGAUUAGCUUACAUUAUUUUAUCCUUUGCAUUUUCAGUGUUGUGAAAUGUUUCUAAAGAGAUUUUCUAAUUGUAUCAAUCUACCUACUUUUUUGUGAAGUUUUUUGGCAAUGUCACUUCCUCUGGGACAUCUUCAUCCUUUUUUGUCACAGCCACUUUCUUCAUUAAUGUCAAUAAUUCCACCUUUACUAAGUUCCCCUGACUGCAUACCUAGAGUCUUUCUAAUGAUCACAGUGUCAAUAUUGCCAUAGCCAACUAUCGUUUCUGUAACUCUAUGUUUGAUCUGAAUUUCACAUCCAGUGUUACUACUUUUCAUGUUUUUCCUUCACUUUCAUUUUUCUUGGCCAAUUUCCUCUUUCUAAUAUCUGUUUUGUUUUGUUUUGUUUUGUUUUUUUGAGACAGAGUCUUGCUCUGUAGCCCAGGCUGGAGUGCAGUGGUGCAAUCUUGCUCACUGCUACCUCUGCUUCCCAGGUCCCGGUUCAAGCAAUUCUCCUGCCUCAGCUUCCUGAGUAGCUGGGAUUACAGGCAGGAGCCACCAUGCCCAGCUAAUUUUAUUUUUGUAAUUUUAGUAGAGACAGGGUUUCACCAUGUUGGCCAGGCUGGUCUUGAACUCCUGACCUCGUGAUCCACCUGCCUCGGCCUCCCAAAGUGCUGGGAGUACAGGCAUGAGCCACCGUGCCCGGCCUUUAAUAUCUAUUUUUGUAAAAUAUUUUGUGAGUUUAUCACUGGGAGACAAGGAAGUAACACAAUUUCACGCCUUGCUGUCUGUGCAUGAACUGAAAAACAGAUGUGCAGUGAUCAAUUGCUGACAGAUUUUCAAAGCAGUGAAUGAUUGGUCACUGUCAUUGAUGAUGAUGCACAUUUGUUAAUUACAUAAUGGUUGGCAGACUGAAGUUCUUGCAGUGAAGUUUGUACUUUGUGUAAUUACAUUUAGUAGGCAUAGUCACCGAAAUUUGAAUCAUGUCAUUGGGUAACUGCCUUUGUGUAUGUAUGUGUAUAUGCAUAUAUGCAUAGUUAUGUGUGUGAAUCUAGAAAAAGGUUAUAUAGGUAGCCCAUUGUAUUAUUCUUGCAGCUUUUCUGCCACUUUCAAGUUUAUCUUAAUAAAAGUUAGGGGUGGGAGGGUGGGAAGGAAGCAGAUCAUAAGGAGAUAAGACAACGCAAUAGAAAAUCUAAAGAAAGAAUAGAUAAGCCAGGCGCCCUGGCUCACACCUGUAAUCCCAGCACUUUGGGAGGCCGAGGCGGGUGGAUCACGAGGUCACGAAAUUGAGACCAUCCUGGCUAACAUGGUGAAACCCCAUCUCUACUAAAAAUGCAAAAAAAAAAAAAAAAAAAAAAAAAUUAGCCGGGCGUGGUGGCGGGCGCCUGUAGUCCCAGCUACUCAGGAGGCUGAGGCAGGAGAAUGGCGUGAACCCGGGAGGCGGAGCUUGCAGUGAGCCAAGAUCGCGCCACUGCACUCCAGCCUGGGCGACAGAGCGAGACUCCGUCUCAAAAAAAAAAAAAAAAAAGAAUAGAUAAUAAAAACAAACAGGGAAUCCAGAGACUAGAAAAGGCUAUGGAAUCAAACCGCCUGGGUUUGAAUCUCAUUUUAAUUACCAGCCAUGUGAUCUUAGACAAGUUAUGGAAUAUCUCUGAACUUGUUUCUCUUAAAAAUUAGGGCUAAAAGAAUAUCUACUUCAUAGGGUAAUAUGGAUGGUUAAAUAACUUUCAUAUAUGAAGUAAUUCUAAGUGUACAGAUGUGUUAAGAUGGGGAGACUUUACUGUCUUUAGAUACUAAUAAGAAUCCAGAAGACAGAGGUUGAAGCUAGGAGAAGAGAUAGUGGCGUAUGCUUCUUAAGAAGGUGGGAGGGGAUGGGAUCCAAAUAAGAAACAGAGGAGUUGGUCUUGCACUAAGACCCUCUCUAUUUUAACAGGAGGGAAAGAGAAUAGGAUGGGUGAAGGUAUAGGUUGGAUAGUAACUUUGCUAGGGGGAAGAAGUUAUUUAAUUUUGUAGUCUCCAAGAAAUAAAAGGUGAGGCAUUUUCUGAGCAUGAACAGCACAAUAGGGGAUUAGAGGUUGAAGAGAGUGUGGAAGACUUGAGAUGGCUCUUGCAGAGACUAAGAGAGCCAGCUGGCCAAAUAACUAUAACAGCAUUGUUGGCAGUGUGGAGGGCCCAGAGUGACUGACCUUAAAAUUAUAGUUCUUUCAGCCUGCCCUUUUGUGUUUCUUACUUCAGCUGCCAGUGGCUCAGCUGCCUUGGUGCAGGCAUGGAGAGUGUGGGCUGUUGAGUUCAUCCAGGAUUGAGGUUUUUCCAGAUGGAUGUGAGGAAAAGAUAGACAAGAGAAUUUAUGGUAUUGGCAAGGAGGUUACUGAAAGUAUGUACCAUGAAAUCUAACCUGGGAGGGAAUUAGUAGUAGAAGAGGGCUAGUGAUGAGGGGGAAAAUAGGGGGGACCUGUUUUCUUUGGAGAAUUGUUGGAGUGCCUUGGGUGUUUCUUUCCUUCUCUCCCAGGCAAAGAUAGUGGCAUUCCUGUCUCCUUAGCUCAAAUAAAAAGGAUACUUUAUCGAAACCACCUGACGAGGUUUAAAUGUGCCUCUGGAGUUUGAAGAGCAUUAAGGACUGGUACGAGUAGCUCUGUGCAAAUCAUCCAGGUUAGAGAAGGUGGGGAGGAAAGGGGAGAAGUGGGCAGGGGCACUGGGAGCAAACUGCACAUCCACAAGCAGUGAGGCAAGGGUGGGUGACUGUUUCUCCUGAGCCAGAUGUGGGCCUGUGGAGAAGCUUGCCUGGGGCAACCUCAUAUUCCAAAACUGGCUGGAGGGGGUAUGUGACCACAGGGAAGGGAGUGGCCACCAGAUAGCCAGGGGCUGAGGAGAGAAUUGUAGAGGGCCAGCCUGAGGAGAGACAUUGCCUUCACAAUGGGAGCAUAGUUGGAUGUUCCAAGGGGAGUAUCUCCCUGAAAUUCACAAAAAUACCCAGUGAAGUAAAGAGUGAGCAACAGGAUUCUGCCAUACCGAGAGGCUGCCAUAGGUGACUGUGUCUGUGCCUACCAAGUGGGACCUUGAUGACCUCUCCUCCCUUUUCCUGAUCCAACCCUGAAAGCACAGAGGUAGUUAAUUGGGGGUUUAAGAAGGUGGGUGUGGGUGGACAGAGAGCAAGGAGACGGAAGAAGCAGCCGUCUGUAUUUCCAUCCCUUCUCCCCACCCCCUAGGUUUUCCAGUCUGCUGCAGCAACAAGAUGGGGGUGGGGAGGCUCAAAUUUUAUGAGUGUCAUUCAAAUUUUAUUGAACAUUUUAAUUACUGAACUGAGACCAUUCUUGUGGCUGAGUUACCAGGAGAAUUUUUAUGACCUGAAAGAAGCCAGGAAAGUAAGUCUGCACUAGGGACAAGGAAAACAAACAAAAAAGCAACUAGCCUAUAGAGGAGUUGGAAAAGGGUGAUUGAUGUGGUUUAGAUCUGUGUCCCCGCCCCAAUUUCAUGUUCAAUUGCAAUCCCCAAUGUUGGUGGUGGGGCCUGGUGGAGGUGAUUGGAUCAUGGUGGUGGUUUCUCAUGAAUGGUUUAGCACCACUGCUCUUGAUGCUAUCCUUAAGAUAGUGAGUGAGUUCUUGCCAGAUCUGGUUGUUUGAAAGUGCAUAGCACCUCCCCACUCUUGCUCCUGUUCCUACCAUGUGAGAUGUCUGCUCUCCCUUUGCCUUCCUCCAUGAUUGAAAGCUUCCUGAGGCCUCUCCAGAAGCAGAAGCUGCUAUGCUGCCUGUACAGCCUGCAGAACCAUAAGCCAAUCAAACCUCUUUGCUUCAUAAAUUACCCAGUCCCUGGUAUUUCUUUAUAGCAGUGCAAGAACGGACUAAUAGAGUGAUUUAGAGAAAAAAAAAAAACUUGUAUUAUCAUUCUGCUGUAUAAAAUUCAGUUCAUUCACUAUAAUACUGAUCACAUCAGUUUAGUAAAAUAAUGAUAACAAGGUCCAGAGUGUGGCUGUGGAAGUAGCUGGCUCUGAUGGAGUGGACUAGAAGGUCAUUGAGGGUGAAGAAGGCAAGGUAUGAGAAGACUUGGUGAUGGCUGAGUCAUCUUUGUAGAUAAUGAAUUCUUCCAUGAUGCUGGCAAAGGUUGGGGUUGAAAGACUGCAAGCCCAAGGCCAGUGGUUCUUAAACUUUAGAGCGCAUUAGAAUCCACCUAGAGAGCCAUUAGAAGAUAGAGGGGCCCAGGCUUAUUGAAGUAGGAUACGGCCUGGGCUUCUGUAUGUUUUCAACAAGUUCUCAGGUAGUAUGAAAUACACAACAAAAUUUGAGAACCUCUACCCAAUAUUUAGUGGUGAGUAGUAAGUGAUAAAUAGGUACAUAACCAUAUCUACCUGAAGAAAGGAAGAGAGGGCAAUUUAGCCAAAUAGGAGGAAUACCCAGGAAGCAAUUUUUUUCUUUUUGUUACAUGAGGGUAAAGAAGUAGUAGUUUGAGAACAGUAAUAGGGUCAACUAGCCUCUCAACCCAUUAUCCAUAACUAUUCUUUUUCAUUUUUUUUCUUUUUGUGAAUAUGAGUGUUGUGGAUUGAACUGUAUCUCCCCUGAAAAAGAUCUAUUGAAGUCCUAACCUUUAGUACCUCAGAAUAUGAUCUUAUUUGGAAAUAGAGUCAUGAUAAUUUGGAAAUAUAUGUAAUCAGUUAAGAUGGGUCCCUAACACAAUAUAAUUGGCAUCCUUAUAAGAAGAUGGCCACAUGCAGACACAGAGACAGACAGUGAGAAUGCCAUGUGAUAAUGAAGGCAGAGAUUAAAGUUAUGCAGUUGUAAACCGAGGAAGGCCAAAACCACCAGAAGCUAUGAAGGGAGAAAGAAGGAUUCCUCCAUAGGUUUAAGAAGAAUCACGGCCCUGCUGACACCUUAUUGUUGACUUCUGUCUUCCACAACACUGAGACAGUACAUUUGUGUUGUUUUAAGUCACCCAGGUUGUGAUACUUCGUUACAGCAGCCCUGGGAAACUAAUACAAUAAAGUUGAGAUAUUCCUUUCUUGGUGUGCCAUAAAUCAUCUCUCCUACAUUCUGCCCAUGUUGUGUUUUUGUCCCCUUUGCAAUGAAUUAGUCUGUCUCAGGACAGAGAAACCAUGUUUGAGUCAGCAGAUGCCAUUAGAACAACAAGAAAAAGAAAAGUCUACUGCUUCCCAACAUGCUUAAGCUAAAAACACAAUAUACUUUACGUGUUCUUGAUGGAGUAGUCAGCCCCCACACUGGCGUCUGCAUUUAUUAUUGACAAAUGAGUCAGUUCAUAUGAGACUGGUAGCUUAUUUGAGUAGGUGUAUGCUAAAGUUAUUUUGAAAAAAGGAAAAUAAGCCUAUAAAUAUACUUGUAUGCUACUUUCAUGAGAAAGCACUUCUCAUGAGGAAUCUUUAUUAAACCAAUUUUCACAAAAGUGUUGAGAAAACUCAGCAGUCAUACAUAAUGGGUUCCACUUUCAAAAGUCCGCCCACCUCCUUUGACUUUCAUAACUUCUCUCCUCUCCCUAAUAUUGAAGGAAAGUCUUGGGCCACAGAUGGCCCAACAGACCACACUAACUGAUCCCAGGAAAUAUUAAAUUUCUAAUUUAUUUAGCAAAGCCUACAGAAACCAAGCAGAAGUGAGGUGCCAUUCAGAGCAAGAACAUAGAAACAUACCACAUCCCAUUUCAACGUCCAGUGGUCCCUAAGAGGGUGCACGGCUGCCUGUGACCCAUCAGAUCAAAACAUACUGUGGUCCAGAAAUGCUACUUGUAGAAAUUUAGCUUGCAGAAAAAAAAAGUCAAAGGGCAAGGUAAGGGACUGAGUGGCUUACAGAUUCUAGAGAGAAGAUAGAGCCAAUGGUUGCUAGCUGAGCAGAGCAGUCCAGGACUUAUGCCUGGAAGAGGGGUUUUGUGUUGAAUCUCCCUUUUUAUGUCAGGACCUUGAGCGUGGACUAUAGGAGCAGACAGGGUAAUGUCAAAAGCGGAUCUGGGCUAAACAUUCUAUUUUUUUUUUCUUUUUUCUUGAGACAGAGUCUCACUCUGUCACUCAGACUGCAAUGCAGUAGCACGAUCUUGGCUCACUGUAGCCUCUGCCUCCUGGGUUCAAGUGAUUCUCCUGCCUCAGCCUCCUGAGUAGCUGGGAGUACAGGUGCGCACCACCACGUCCACCUAAUUUUUGUAUUUUUAGUAGAGAUGGGGUUUCUCCAUGUUGGCCAGGAAGGUCUCUAUCUUCUGACCUUGUGAUCCACCCACCUCGGCCUUCCAAAGUCCUGGGAUUACAGGCGUGAGCCACCACGCCCGGCCGGGCUAAAGAUUCUUAUCCCAGCUUUGGCUACACAUGCAUGCUUUCCAAGCUCUCUCUCAAGUCAUAAUCCAGCCUUCUGUAAGAUAUUUUCACUUGGAUGCUCUGCAGCUACCUGAAUGAAGCUCAUCAUACCUAAAAACUUAGUUCACAUCUCACCUCCAACUCCCUCCCCCAAAUCUCUCUCCUCCUCUUGAAUUUUCUUUCUAUGUACUCUCCUGAACUCCCAAAGACAGUUGUCUGCUUGUGCUGUCUCAAAAUGCUAUACUUCUCCCAUGUUCUCUGAUCCGUCUUCAGCAUCCUAGAUAUUUCUGAAGCUGCCUGGUUAAAGCUUCCAGUGACCCUAGUAGCAUGCAACUGAAUAGUCUCUUUGCUUGUCCUCAUGCUCAUUGUUCAACAGCAUUCAAGCUGCAUACUUCUCAGCUGACCUUUCUCCUCUCUUGACCUCUGGUACAUUACCCAUCUAGUUUCCCAUCUACUUUGGCUAUUUCUAUAUAGUCUUCUUCUCUUCAACUUCUAAAAUAUAGAGUUCUUCUGACAUUUCUUUAAAUACUAUCAAUAUAUGCUGAUAAACUAUAUUUCUAAUAGGCUCCAGACCUGAAAAUGUAAUUAGUAACUCAAACUUUCUCUUUCUAUUUCUCUCUCUCUCUCGAUGUCUCUCAGGCAUCUCAAACAUAACAUACUCUCCAUCAAACUCUAGAUUCCCUUGAAAGCCUCCCAGCUCUGUCAAUCCCAAGUCUUUCCAGCUCAGUAAACGGCACUCCAUUUCAUACAGAUCAGAAAUCUUUCCCUUUCCCUCAUCUCCCACAUCUAAUUCAUCUGUAAGUUCUCUGGUUCCUACUAUCCUUUCACCACUUUGAUAUAAGCCAACACCUGGACUCUGGAAAUGGCCUCCAAACUGAUUUCUCUGAUAUACUUCCUGACAUCUUCAGUCCAACUCUGCCCCAAUAUCUUCACUGAGAACAGCUGGAGAGUAAACUUUUAAGAACUUACUGUGGCCCACAAGGCCAUGCAUGAUUUGGCUUUUGCUAGUCUCUCCAAGCUCAUCUCAUUCCGUUCUCUUCUUUGCCCACAGAGCUUAAACCUGCUGUCCUUUCAGUUCCUGAGGCUAGCCCAGCUUUUUCCUGCUUCAAGGCUUUGCAUAAAUUGUUCCCUUUUCCUUGAACACUCUCUGCCUACUCCAUAUAUAUAUAUAUAUCUCCUUUGCCUAACUACACUUAACAUUUGGUACAACAAUUGAUACAUAGUAGGCUCUCAGUAAGUAUUUGUUGAAUGAGUGCAAUGAACGGAUCUGACUGGAAAAGUUCUACCAACAACCCGUUGGUCAGCGAGGAGGACAAAGGGAAACCACUCACUAAGUGCCAGAAACUGCCUGUUAGAAAAACAGAAUGUUCUUAUAGAUAUCUAUAUCUCCUUUUCCUUAAAGAUCUAUGAUUUCAUAGGGCUGAUUAAAAAAUAAUCAAAAUAUUGACAGAACAGUAUGUAGUGUGAGACUAUGUAAAUGCUUUCAGCAGAAGUUAAGAUAUAAAUAAUAAAUACUGGCAGCCGAAGUACAGAAGACAAUUAAUUGCCAAAUGAUUAGUACAGGCUCAUGGUUUCCAACAUUUUCAUCAGUAAGGAUUUGUUCAUUAUGCUUUUCCCACAAGGACCUCAUAUUUUUGAAACCAUCUGCCUACUAAACAAACUACAUUUACCAUGUGAUAAUUAUUUUUCACUUUAAAUCAUAUGUAAUCCCCAAUUAGACAUAUAUAACCCCUAAUUAGGGCAUUUAGUCAACAUAGCAAUGCAAGCCAAAAGCAAGAUCAGGAACUUUUGUUUUAAUGUCAAUAACAUUUUUACUGAGCUUUUGGAAAUAUUUAAAAUAUCUUGCCAACCCCCACCUGGUGUUUCAUUCAAAGCUUUAGCUUGUGUAUUUUGUAAAGAAAAUAAUACAUAGGUUUGUUUACCAUAUGUAUCUUUUUUCUUCAUGAAAGUCUCCCUGUGCCUUUUUGCAGAUUAGUAACUAUAAGUGAAUCGGGUUCCUUGAGGGAGAGAAACUUCUAUCAUAGCGGUAUUUUGAAAAUGAGUUAAUUGAGGUUUUGAUAGUCUACCAGAGCCAAGAUACAUAGCAGACUCUGCCAUGGAUUCUAACAUGCUUCGUCUUUUCUCUACUUGUCAUGCAGCAGUAAACAGAGAAAUGAAGAGAAAAAAAUGAACAAAACCUUCGUUUUUAGUGAAACUAUUGUAUUUCUUUUUAUCCUGCCUUAAUGGUAGGAAGUAACACUACACACUAGUCCAAACUAAUUUAGCUACUUAAGCUCUUUGUUCUUCCUUUGAACAUGUACAUGUAAUUUUAAUCAUUUCAGGCAGCAUGGGUUCUCAAGAAGUAAUUUUUGUCAAGGAAAGGAAGAAUAUGUAAAUAUUUUAUAUACAUAAGAUGAACAUUCAUCCAUGUGCUUUAGACGGGUCUGAAAUAAUCAAACUAAUGAUAUUUUUCAAGCUGCCUCUUUGAGAACAUUUCCUAAAAACUGACCAUUAUUAGCAAAAUCAGUGUUUCUAUAGAGGUAUUUAAGAUAUUCAGAUAGGCUGGAUUAAGAAAAUGUGGCACAUAUACACCAUGGAGUACUAUGCAGCCAUAAAAAAUGAUGAGUUCAUGUCCUUUGUAGGGACAUGGAUGAAAUUGGAAAUCAUCAUUCUCAGUAAACUAUUGCAAGAACAAAAAACCAAACACCGCAUAUUCUCACUCAUAGGUGGGAAUUGAACAAUGAGAUCACAUGGACACAGGAAGGGGAACAUGGACACAGGAGAUCACACUCUGGGGACUGUUGUGGGGUGGGGGGAGGGGGGAGGGAUAGCAUUGGGAGAUAUACCUAAUGCUAGAUGACGAGUUAGUGGGUGCAGCGCACCAGCAUGGCACAUGUAUACAUAUGUAACUAACCUGCACAAUGUGCACAUGUACCCUAAAACUUAAAAGUAUAAUAAUAAUAAUAAAAAAAAGAAAGUAAAAAAAAAAAAGAUAUUCAGGUAAAUCAUGUUACAUAAGUUCUGAAGAUAAAGGUUGUUAAUCAUAUAGUUAUUGAGCAACUUAACACCGGAACUCAAGAUAUUUCAAUUCAUAAUUUUGCUAACAGGUGCAGAAUCUUCUAUAUUUUUAUAGCUUUUGUGUGGGAAGCAAGCUGUAGUGGAGUUGGUGGCAAUUUUAUCUUACUAGACAAACGCUUGAUAGAUCAAGCAUUUUUGGUACUUAAAGUGUCUCACAAUAGAUCCAAAUUUCACUUCUUUUUCCUGUCGAGAUGCUCACAAACAUCUACCACCUUAAGACUUUAAAGAACUUUACAAAUGAAUGUCAUUUUCCUGCAUGUUUUAGCCAUAGACAAGAUGAAACAAGUAUAUUGACUCUUCUGAGGUUAUAAAGCCUCUGCACAGCUGGAACAAAAAGCUGUAGGGUUUUUUUUCCAUUAGGUAUAUAUAAACUUUUUAUUUCAUUAUGGUAAAAUAUCUAUAACAAAAUGUGCCAUUUUAAUCACUUUAAGUAUACAAUUCAGUAGCAUUAGCAACAUUCACAAUGUUAUGCAAUCAUCGCCACUAUUUCCAAAACUUUUCCAUCACCCCAAACAGAAACUCUAUCAUCAGGUGCACUUUUCAUGCAAUAUGUUGAAUAAAUGUUUAUUCAUUAAGAAAUAGUUCAUCCAUUAAACAAAUAGUUAUCAAGUAUCUACCACCGGUGUAACCCUCUGUUAGAAACUAGAGAUAAGCAAUGAGAACAAUGUGAGAUGAAAAGAAUAAACAAUGGAGAGAGUGGCCCAUUUUCAGAAAUUGGUGCCUCUGGAGGCCAGUCGACCAACUAAAACACCAGUAAUAAUAUUAAUACUAUCUAAGCACUUUAGUUAUAUUAAUUCAUUUAAUCUUUACAACAACCCUAUGAGGCAGGUACAAUUAUUAUUAUCCUGAUGCUGCAAGUGAUGAAACUGAGGCAAAGGGAGGUUAAGUCACUUGCUCAAGGUCACACAGCUAAUAACAGUUGGAGCUGGGUUUCCAACCCAGGCUGACACACUCAGAGUAUGUACCCUUAACCACUGUGUGCAACUUUAAAAAAUUUUUUUAACUGAGGUAUAACUGACAUACAAUAAAAUGCAUCCAAUUUAAGUUAUGAUUCAAUGAAUUUUAACAAGUGACUACAACCAUGCAUAGCAUAAUCAAGAAAUAGCACAUUUUCAUCACCUUAAAAUGUUCCCUUGAGCCCUUUUGCAGUCCGUGCUCCCUGACCCAUAACCCUUAGUUUUAGGCAACCACUAAACUGCUUAAUUAUAGAUUAGAUAGAUUUUCCUUCCUAUAAUUUCAUAUAAAUAGAUUCAAACAGUACUCUUUCCAUCUAGCUUCUUUUGCUUUCCGUCUAGCUUCUUUUGCUCAGUAAACUUUUUUUGAGAUCACUGAUGUUGUUGCAGGUGUUAGUAGUUUCUUUUAACAGUUGAGUAAUAUACUACUGUUAUUUGUUUAUCAGUUCAUCUGUUGAUGGACUCUUGGGUUGUUUGCAUCUUUGACUACUAUGAAUAAAGCUGCUGUAAGCAUUCAUGUACUAAUAUAAGCAAAUGUAGGGUUUAAUUUAUUUAGGAUAAAUACCUACAAAUGAGAUUUGUGGGUUAUAUAGUAAGUAUGUGUUUAACUUUGUAGAAACUGCGGCCGGGCGCGGUGGCUCACGCCCAUAAUCCCAGCACUUUAGGAGGCCGAGGCGGGCGCAUCACGAGGUCAAGAGAUGGAGACCAUCUUGGCUAACACGGUGAAACCCCGUUUCUACUAAAAAACAUUACAAAAAAAAUUAGCCGGGCAUGGUGGCAAGCCCCUGUAGUCCCAGCUACUCGGGAGGCUGAGGCAGGAGAAUGGCGUGAACCCAGGAGGCGGAGCUUGCAGAGAGCAGAGAUCGCGUCACUGCACUCCAGCCUGGGUGACAGAGCGAGACUCCGCCUCAAAAAAAAAAAAAAAGAAAGAAAGAAACUGCCAAAUUAUUUUCCAAAGCAGUUGUAGUGUUUUAUGGUCCCACUAGCAACUUAUGAGAGUUCUGACCAUCCAUGUCCUUGUCAACAGCGAGUAUUUCAGUCUUCUUAAUUUUGGCCUUUCUAAUGUCUAAUGGAUAUGCAGUGGUGACACACUGUGGUUUUAAUUUGUAUUUCCUUGAAGAUAAAUAGCGAGUAUCUUUUCUUGUAUUUACACAACAUUCAUAUAUCUUAUUUUCAAAUCAUUUGCGCCUUGUUUCAUUAGAUUAUUUUUUCUUAUUAUUGAGUUGACUACUUACUAUUGAGGGUUUUUAAAAAUAUAUUCUGGAUAUCAGUCUUUUGUCAAAUAUAUAUUUUGCAAAUAUGUUCUCCCAGUUUGUGGCUUGUCUGUUCACUUCCUUAAUUUUGUCUUUCUAAGAGCAGAGGGUUUCAUUUUAUGAAGUCCAAUUUAUCAUUCCUUAAUGAUUUGUCCUUGUUUUUAUUCUAAGAAACUUUUGCCUAUCCCAAGUUCACAAAAAUUUUCUCCCAUGUUUUCUCAUCUAGUCUUUUAUGAUUAAGUAUGUGGUUAGUUGCAGACUUUCGUAAAUGUCCUUUACUAUGUUAAGGAAGUUCCCUUCUGUUCUUGAUAUGCUGAGAGACUGUCAUAAAUGAAGCAUUUAUGAAAUGCUUUUUCUGUAUCUAUUGAGAUGGCCAUAUAGUGUUUUCCUUUUUUCUGUUAAUAUGGUGAAUUCCAUUGAUCACAUUUGAAUUUCAAAUCAACCUCAUUUUCCUGAGAUUUCACUGGAUUAUGAUACAGCAUCCUUUUAAAUACUACCAGAUAUGAUUUGCUCAUAUCUAUUGAGGAUCUUUGCAUCUAUGUUCAUGAGAGAUAUUAGUCAGUGUUUUCCUUUUCUUGUUGUAAUGUCUUUAUCAGGUUUUGAUAUCAUAGUAGUGGUGGCAUCACAAAAUGGGUUGGGAAAUUUGCCCCCUCAAUUUUGUAAAGAAUUGAUACUAUUUUUUCCUUAAGUGUUUGAUGAAAUUCACCACUAAAGCCACCUGGGCCUGCAGUAAAACCCAGAUUAGAACUUCAAUUUCUUUAAUAAAUAUGAGGCUAAUAAGGUUUUCUAUUUCUUCUUGAAUCAAGGUUUGUUAUUUACAUCUUUCAAGGAAUUUGUUCAUUUCUUUUAAGUUGUCAAAUUUAUUGUCAGAGGUGUUCAUAUUCCAUUCUUAUGCUUUUAAUAUUUAUAGAAUCUGUAGUAAUGUUCCCUCUUUAACUUCUAAUGUUGGUAUGUUUUUCUUUUUGAUCAGUCUAGCUAGAGACUUAGCAGUUUUAUUGAUCUUUUCAAAGAACCAGCUUUUGAUUUCAUUGAUUUUGUCUUUUGUGUUCUAUUUUAUUCAUUUCUGCUCUUAUCCUUAUUAUUUUAUUCUUUCUGCUUACUUUGUUUUAUUUCCUCUUUUUAUCAUGUAAGUUGAAAGCUUUAUUGAUUUUAGACCUUUCUUCUUUUCUAAUAUAAGCAUUUAGAGCUAUAAAUCUCCCUCUAAGCACUGCUUUUGCUGCAUCCCAUAAAUUUUGAUAUGUCAUAUUUUCAUUUUUAUUAUUUUCAAGAUGUUUCCUAAUUUCCCUUGUAUUUUUUUCUCUGCUGCAUAAAUUAUUUAGAAUUGUGUAGUGUAAUUUCCAAUAAUUAGGAAUUUUUCAGGUAUCUAUUUUUGAUUCCUAAUUAAAUUCCCCUGUGGUCAGAUAUUAUACUCUGAAUGAUUUCAAUUUAUUGACACUUGUUUAAUGGCCUAGAAUAUGGUCUAUCUCAAUGAUUAUUCUAUGUGUAUUUGAAAAGAAUGUGUAUUCUGCUGUUGUUGGGUAGAGUAGACUACAAAUGUCAAUUACAUCAAGUUGGUUGGUAGUGUUGUUCAAGUCUUCUGUCCUUACUGAUUUCUUGUCUACUUGUUCUAUUGAUUAUCAAGAGGGAAGUAUUGAAACCUCUGACUAUAAUUGUGGAUUUGUCUAUUUUUCCUCACAGUUCUAUUAGUUUUCACUUCAUGUAUUUGGAAGCUGUGUUAUUAGGUGUCAUUAAGGACACACUUCUCUAGCUGGAAAGAAGUCAAAUGACUUCCAGGCCUUUGAGAACACUGUGAAUUGUUUGGUUUACAACUCCCCAGUCAUUUCGUUAUGAAGCUUCUUUGGAAUUUCCCCCUAUGUCUUCAUGAUGACUUAUUCAGCAACGAUCUCAAGGGCAACCCUACCCCUACGCAAUUUUCUGAAGCUCUCUCUCUCUCUUUUGUUAGUAGAAUUCCCCCUCCUGCAACUCUGCUAUUCCAAUCCCAGCUGUUCCCACCUUCUGAAUUUCUAAUCUUUCAACUUGGCAAGACUGCCACACUCUGCUUGGCCAUGCCACACCACCAUAUGAAAAGUAUCCUAGGCAGAAAGCUAGUACUAUUGCAGAGCUCAUCUCAUUUUUCUCAGGGUUCAGAGCACUGAAUUACCUGUUGUUGUUCAAUGACUACAAACAAUUGUUCAUACAUUUUGCUUAGAGCGGGAAGGUAUGUCUAGACCCAGUUACUCCAUCAUGAUUAGAAACAGAAGUCAGUAACGUUUGAAAAGAGGCCAAAGUACUACAAUAUUCACAAAUUAUAGCUUACAUAAACUAAGGUGAAUUUUAAAAGGAGAAAAUCCAUUGAAAAAUACUGGAAAUAUUUAGAUUUCAAGAGUUUCAGGAACUCUGAAAAAUAGUUUAACUAGUACCCCUGACAUCAAGGGUUGAUUAUUCUGUUUGAAUUAAGCCAGAGCUAAUAUUCCUAAGGAUUCUAGUGAUUCUUGCCAGCUUUUAGGAUUUCAGCAAGUAGUGCUUAUUUAUUCAUUCAUAAAUAAUACAUUUACAUAUAUCUCACAUUAAUUAUGACCCAUUUCAUAACUUAGUAUGCAUUCAUUCAUCUUCUUUCUCCAGGGAUAAUAGAUGUAAAGCAGAAAUGCAUUCCAUGUUAUGUAUUUGCAUUAUGUGAAUGUUCAGAAAAACCCAGUCAAACUUUCAUAUAUUAGUUACAGAUAAAUAAUGGAAUCUUCAGGAACUCUUUUUUCUUUCCUAUGUCUGCUGAAUAUGACUCCUUCCCAGUGGCUGGUCCUACCAUCACCUGGAAAAAAACUCUUCAAAGCUUCUGAUCUACUUCUUUCCUCAAUUUUUACUUCACCCCAUGAGGCAGAGUUAGGAUUUAUGGUAGGAGGAUAAAAGGAGAAAAGAGAAUAAUCAUGAAUAAUAUUAGCAAUGAAUGUUAAGCACUUUCAAUAUGCCAUAUAUUGUGUUCAUUAGUCAGUAUUGCCUAGGUUUGCUGUGAUAACAAGCAAUCCCCAAAGCUCAGUGACUUAUAACUUGUAAUAACAAAGGUUUCUUUUUUGCUAUUUUAGAUCUUUAUUGUAUGCUGGCUCUGAUUUUAGUCUAUAUUUUCUUUACUAUGUGACUUUGAGGAAUGGAGCAAUAGCUGUCUGGAACAUUGCAGGUCAUUAUGGUAGAGGGAAAAGAGAAACAUGACAAAUGGUGUAUUGGCUCUUCAGUCUUCUUCCUCAAAAUGUCAUGUGUCACAUUCACUCAUAUUUCAUUGGUUAAAUCAAAUCUCAUGGCCUAGGCUGACAUCAGUGGGGUUGGGAAGUCUAAUGCUCCCCCAGGGAGAAACACCAAAUAUUUGUGAACAAUAAAGUAGUCUACUAUACUGUACUAAGCACUCAAAUAUUUUCUCCUUUUGUCUUCAUAACAGCCUUCUAGAAAUAGGUACUAUUAUUGUUUUAUUUUAGAGAUGAAUAAACUAAGGCUCAGAGAGUAACCUGGCAAAAGUCAAACAAUAUGAAAUGGUAAGGCGUGGUCCCAGAUUGUCUGACCCUACUGUAAUUGUAUUAUACUGCCAUCAAAUGAGAAAAGGAAAAGAAAGGAGCUGGGAAGGAAUGAGCAGAAAGAAAGGAAAGGAAGCAAGAUAUUAAAAAUAAUUGCAAACUACUUCUUAAGGAAAUCAGAUGCAGUGAUAAGAAAGGGGUAAGGAAAAGUAAAUGGGAAAGAUGAGAGAAAGGAAAAUGUUCUUUUAUCUUAUUGCUUGCCAGUCCACCUGCAUAUAUCCAUCCUGCAUCACAUGCCUUUAUCUUAUGCCAUCCCAAGAAAGCCCAGCUCCUGUCUCUCCACAUUCCAAAGUCUCUAACCCCAUGACCUACCUCGAGGUUCCCCAGAGUCCUAGUCUAUUUUAAUUGAUUGUUCUUUUUAUACUGUGCAAAAAAGUGAGUUAAACUUAUAAAUUUAGCAUUGACAAAAAACAUUUCUAUUCUUUAUACCUGGCAUGUUAUAAAAAUGCAAACACUUGAUACUUUUCUAUUGUUGCCUUUGGAAACAUGCAUAUUAGUGAUUUGUAUCUGCCCUUUGAAUAAAAACCAGUAUCCAAAGUUUUCUGAAGCAAUUCUGUGAGAACGGAAGGUGAAUAUAGCUCAUUAAUAUAACUUUAAAAUUACAUUAAAGUGGGAAAAGAAACUGGAAAAUAUCACUAGCGUUAACGAAAAAGCUUAAAAUCUGUGUUCUAUAAAAUGCUCAUACAAAAUGAGCUGAGGAAAGAGAUGCCUCUUCCAAGAGGAACUAACCAGUAAACAAAUACAUGGAAAGGAUUUCAUCCUCACUAGUGGUAAAAGAAAUGCAAAUUAAAACAAAAAUGAGGACUAUUUUGUGUUUAUUAAAGGGGCACACAACUCUUUCAAUGUCACCACUUGAUUAUGAGUUGUUUUUUCAGUGAAAUUAUUAUAAUCUUAAAGUGUUGUUGAUACUUCUUGUAGGAACUAUGUGUAACAUAUAACAAGCUUGUAUGGGUUAAAUCAUACUGUUUAAGCCUCUACUUUCCCGAAAAUGAACCAUGAGCUUGUCCCAGCAUUCCAGUGGGGCUGCUGCAGUGGCUGGAUACAUUUCUGAUGGAGAAAUGUCUAUCUCAAAUGUAAAAGGUGGGAGGCUGUGGGUGGAACCUUCAGAGUUCCUUAGUCACUAGAAGAAAUAAAAACCUCCUCAUAUCCAGGGUUUUGACCUUUGAUCCUACCUCUUAGAAUAGAUUCUGAACAAGUAAUUCGUAAGGGAAAAAAAGCCAAAUAGACAAAGAUUCGCUGCAUUAUUUCUUAUAGAAAAGAUUAUGAAAUGUAUGUUGGACAACAGGAAAAUAAUGUAAAAGAUGAUGUAGCUAUUAAAAUGUAGAUUACAAGGACUACACAGCAACAUGGAACAUGCUUCUGAAAUUGUAUUAAUUGAAAAUGGCAGAAGGCACCCACUGUGAUUAUCCACAAUGGCUAGAAAAGAUCAGGGCCAAACAAAAAGUUGGAUUUGCUGAGGUGACAAGAUUGUAGGCAAAAGUUUUCUUUCAGUUAUUUAGAUUUAUUGUGUAAUACAGACAGAAUAUUUAUGUAAUUAGAAUUUUAUUUUCAGAGUAAAAGAGAAAUAGGAUACUGUGACCCUUUCCUACUCUUAUUGGAGGCUUCAGGAUUUCACUAUAAUGCAAAGCUCCAAAUCAAGCUCAGUUUUGGUAUUUUCUGAUAAAUAUUAGAAGCUCACUCCUAAUUUGAAAUGGUCAGCCUUUUUCAUAGGAUGGUUUAUGUGUAGAUAAGUAGCUCUUACAUUAAUCCAAUUAACUUGGAAGAUUGUAGGCAGGAAUGUACACCAAUCAUAGUGUCCACUUGUUAAAUUUUUUAAAUUACAGGACAAAGCAUAGGAGAAAAUGGCAUUUUAAAAUUAUGGUAUUCACAUUUAAAAAAUACUCAAUAUAUUUUUGUUUUCAACCAUGUUUCAGGUGAUGAAUCUCUACAUUUAAGGCAGUGGAUUUAGCUGUAAAUCUGAAACAAGAAGUGCACAAUUUCACCUGUGUUUCCAGACUUCUGGAUGCUCUUGUAGUGUUUUUAUUGUACUUUUUUCAGAUCAACAAUUGGACCCAUUGCAUUAUUUUUAGAGAUGCUUCACCUGAAAGGCGGUCUGGAGGUUGAAGAAAAAAAUAUUCAGCAUAUUAUUUGGAAAUAUAACUAAAAUAUUGUUUAAAACAAAUUCAUCCUAUGUAUCCUCACUAUUUUGAACACACUGUCUUACCCUUAGCACUGUAUCUAUCUCAUCAACAGCAAAAAUAGAAAAGCCAGACAUAGUCUUCUAUACUGGGGGGAUGGCAGAGCAGAGCAAGGGAGGAGGGGGAAAAUAAACCAUAACUUCUUGUGGCUGUUCUGGCUGAGGAAAGUUAGGUUUCAACAGCAGGCUUGAAAUGAGUUAUAGGCUCACUGAUGGAGGGGGAUGGGUUGAGGGGAGGAAACUAUUUUCUGCUCUGGGCUCCCACACUCAACAGGGGAAUGGGAAAAGAGUUAUGUGCCCUCCAGUACCUCCGAGAACAGCUUUCUUAGUGUUCACCUACUGAGCUUGAGGCAAAUUUUCAAGAUAGAUGAUCUAGUUCCUCCUCUCUGUUUAGUGGCUGCCCCUACCCUCAGAGAUAGCUGUGCGGAAACCGCAUGAGUGUGUGUGUAAGUGCAGGCACGCAUGUGUUUGCGUGGAAGGUGGGAGUGGUAGCAGAGGCAGGGGAAUGAGGAAGGAGAGGAAAAUCUCAGAGAGAAUAAUGAGGCUGUUGAGUGUGGGAGCCCAGUGCAGAAAAUAUUCUGGUGCUUGAGAGAGAACAGGAAGGAGUGUGUAUUUGUGUAUGUUUCUUUUCUUAGAUCGUUUCAUUCAGGAGGCAUCUCCCUGGAGACUGAGGAAAUUGUAGGAGUCCCCUGGGGUACUGUCAGCUCUACUUGCUGAGCUUCUGGAGAAAGAGUGAAAUACUAGGUAAAGGAGAUGCCUCCAGCCGGCUUCCAGGCAGAGGCAGUACUGAGAAGAAGGUGCAGGGAGGUGAGAGGGACCCCUGCCCUGAAUAAAUUGGAGAUAUUUCCAGAUGUGCUCCCUCCCCACACUCAGCCUCGCUGUGCUAGCUCUCGUCAGGAAGGACAGUAGGAUUGUACCAUGACUCCCUGAAGCUCUAGGUUGGCAGGAGGGAUGCUCCUCACGGUAUGCGCUCACCUUCCUUGCUCUGGCCAUAACCACUAAGCCUCCCAGCUUCAAAUAAGAGCCAUUCCUGUGACAACUGCUAAGUCCAGGGAGUGGUUGGAGGGCUGACACUUUCCCUCCUAGGGACUUCAGAAGCCCUGUGGUCUGCCAAAGACUGUCCCUGGCCCUCUGUCCAUUCUCCCGAAAGGACUGCCUGCCAGAAGCUUAGAACCAGCAGCCACUAGGGCAGAGGAAGCCUGUGAGUUUGAAAUGCCUCACCACACAUUUGCAACAGCCUUCUUUGCUACUCUUUUUCAUUGCAAAUGUGAAGUAAUCCAUCUGCAUUCUUGCUUCUGUGGUCCUAUUUAUAUCAUUGUUUCUGGAGAAAGUGUGCUCUAUGUUGCAAAAAACAAAAAAAAACCCUGAUAAACAAACAUCUGAAACACAGACUCUUUAAAGAAUAAUGUCUUGUAGCCUCUGGGAAUGCCACCUAUUUACUAAAACAAACAUGUCUCACGCAUCCUAUGCCAGGCUUUGAAACACUGUCAGUGCUUUCAUAAACUGGGUCACUGCGGCUAGUGCUCUGGGAUGUACAAUGACAGGGCAGGAAGUGCCCUUGAAUUACACAGUGAGACCCUCUAAUUCUCUUUCCUUCUGAUUACAACAAGGAGGUUGUUUCAGUUUGGAGCUGAUGGAUUUGAACACCUUUCCAACACUUGCUUGUUACUAUUAUUACUGUUUUAACAGGCCAUAUGUUCAGAGCUUUUUGGCAGGUUUCUGGCUAGAAUUUAAUUUGUUUGCUUUGUUUUUGUUGCAUUUAUUUUUGUAAUUAACUUCUGUUCAUGGCCAUUGAUAUUGGUCUUCCCUUUAUGUUGUGAUCAUGUAUUUUAAAAAAUAAACUGAAGUCAGACAUAAAAGUUCUAUUUAAAGAAAGAAAUAGUUAUGAUGUUGUGCAACGUGGCAAAAGCAUGUUCAAAAAUUUGGGAAACCCAGCGUUCACAUAUUAUAGAGCACCUUGAUAAAGUACUGAAAGCAAACUCAUUAAAACAGUGUUUCUUGCUACCCAUAGGGAACAACUAGGGUUUUUUUUUUAAUUGUUUUUAAUUUAUCAUGACCAAUUGCUGCUGUAAAAUAUAAUAAAAAUGAAUUAUUAUAAACAUUAUCAUGUGCUUGGGUUUAAGGACAAUGUCAUGUUGCUAUAUAAGUUAUUAAAUGCUUACUUUCUGUUUCUGCACUUACCUUGCCACAAAAUUCUUACAACCCCCCACGGACCAGCAUCCCAUCACACUUUGUUAUUUAUUUAUGUAUUUAUUUAUUUAUUUUUUAAGAUGUAGUCUCGCUUUGUCUCCCAGGCUGGAGUGCAGUGGCACCAUCUCAGCUCACUGCAACCUCCGCCUCUUGGGUUCAAGUGAUUCUCCUGCCUCAGCCUCCCGAGUAGCUGGGAUGACUACAGGCACACUCCACCAUGCUGGGCUAAUUUUUUUAUAUGUUUAGUAGAGAUGGGGUUUUGCCAUGUUGGCCAGGCUCUUCUUGAACUCCUGACCUCAGGUGAGCCUCUCACCUUGGCCUCUCAAAGUGCUUGGAUUACAGAUAUGAGCAACUGCUCCUGGUUCCAUCACACUUUGGAAGUAGAAGGUGAGUUCUGCCUAAGCAAAAUCAAGCAAGUUAAUCCUAAAGAUAGUUCAGAGGGAAUACUGGCCUACCCAGGUUGAGAAAGCCCUUCACAGUUGUUUUAUUUUUAGUACCAUCUAGACAUUCUUUCAUUUAUCCAACAGAGAGUAUCUACGAUGUGCAAGAUAUUACACAAAACCCCAGGAGGUAGGGGUUGAGGGGAGUAGAAAAGGAUGACUACAACAAGAGAUAAGUUAAAAAUAAAUUAAUUAAAACCCCAGGAAGCUUAUAAUGUAAUACUGAAGACAGAAUAUAUAUUACAAAGCAAUUGGUUGUCAGGACCCAUGAGUAAGAGUCUAAAUAUAAUAGAAAUGUAAUGUAAUAGAAUCAGUACUGAGCUAAUUCCAUGCACUUCCCUGUUCUCUAAUGCCUCAGAGAG